GCGCGAGUGGCUCAGCGGUGGAGCACUUCCUUGCCAAGGAAGGGGUCGCGGGUUCGAUCCCCGUCUCGCGCU
RNAcentral lists this transfer RNA (72 nucleotides) under Clostridium sp. RNAcentral's name for it is "tRNA-Gly". It matches the Rfam family "tRNA". From Rfam's summary of the family: Transfer RNA (tRNA) molecules are approximately 80 nucleotides in length. Their secondary structure includes four short double-helical elements and three loops (D, anti-codon, and T loops). The record is from RNAcentral. RNAcentral also lists the same sequence under 2 other names. Lineage: Bacteria; Bacillati; Bacillota; Clostridia; Eubacteriales; Clostridiaceae.